Molecule: long non-coding RNA, 994 nt
Organism: Gigantopelta aegis
Lineage: Eukaryota; Metazoa; Mollusca; Gastropoda; Neomphalida; Peltospiridae
Exons: 3
Source: RefSeq, a predicted model, not a curated record
UUACGGAGCUAUCAUACACACACCCACUGCGGGCGCGUGUGCAGGAAUUUUAGCAAGGGGGGGGGGGUGUGUCUAUACUGAGGUGAGCAACGUUUAUAGGGGGUGACACGCUCCGCCGGAUAAUUAUCAAGCAGGGGAUUGAGCAAGUGAUUUUAUUAUUAUUUAUUUUUAUUUUAUUUAUUUUUGGGGAAUGAGUGGGGAGUGACGGUUAGUUUGUUGUUUAAUUUGUUUGUUUGUUUGUUUUUCUUUUCUUUUUUCACGGAGCUCCGUACACAGACAGUACCACUGCAGACGCGUGUGCAGGGAUUUUAGCAUGGGGAUGAGGUCUACACGGAGGCGAGCGAAGUUUACGUCCGACUCUUUGUCCAUCUAACGCAGUGAACGUCUCACCCGAGCUGACAGUUCGAUGCCACAGUACUUGCACUUUUCUAUCAUCGAUGUUCCCGGGGCGUUGUUCAGCCUGUGUAUGGUGGAUGCAGCUCUCCCAGUCAUUGUUCGUGAAUAGUUCACAUUCUUAGCUCUGUGAUUCUGUGUGUACCCAGGAACAUGGAUCGGUGCCACCAGUUGUGCGUUAUUCCUCCACUGCAGACGACCGAGUACCGCGAAAUCUUUGAACAGUCACCACCGUAGCACGAAAGUGUCGAUUGCAGGACCUUUGGUAAGUUUCGUUUCAGUACACCGAUAUUACCAGUGUGUAGUUUCAUCAGUUCUUUAAGAAUUAAACUGCACCUUGCUUUCAUAUCCUGGCUGAAUACCUUCUGUGCUUCACGCUUUUGUUCACGGGUGGACCCAGUAAAUAUGUCGGGACUGAAGUUAGCUUUGUAACACUUACGAAACUGACUCUGACCUAAGUGGGUUGGAUCAGCUAGCCGCUGCACUUUCCACAUUGGAUGUAGAAGUUUCAAAGCACUAUCAACUCCAGCAGAUGAUCUGGAAUCUCCAUCUGUUGUGACGUAUUUUAUGAGAAUACCUUGUAGAGCCAAGUCUGUUCCGA